RNAcentral lists this ribosomal RNA (253 nucleotides) under uncultured bacterium. RNAcentral describes it as "partial 16S ribosomal RNA". It matches the Rfam family "Bacterial small subunit ribosomal RNA", at positions 524 to 776 of the family's 1533-position model. The record is from RNAcentral.
UACGAAAGGGGCUAGCGUUGUUCGGAUUUACUGGGCGUAAAGCGCACGUAGGCGGUCUUGUAAGAUGGGGGUGAAAUCCCCGGGCUCAACCCGAGGACUGCCUUCAUGACUGCAAAGCUCGAGGAUGCGAGAGGUUGGCGGAAUUCCGAGUGUAGAGGUGAAAUUCGUAGAUAUUCGGAAAAACACCAGUGGCGAAGGCGGCCAACUGGCGCAUUUCUGACGCUGAGGUGCGAAAGCGUGGGGAGCAAACAGG